RNAcentral lists this ribosomal RNA (253 nucleotides) under uncultured prokaryote. Its description in RNAcentral is "partial 16S ribosomal RNA". It matches the Rfam family "Bacterial small subunit ribosomal RNA", at positions 524 to 776 of the family's 1533-position model. The record is from RNAcentral.
UACGGAGGGUGCGAGCGUUGUCCGGAAUCACUGGGCGUAAAGGGCGCGUAGGCGGCGCGGUUAGUCGGCGGUGAAAGCCCGAGGCUCAACUUCGGGUCGGCCGUCGAUACUGCUGCGCUGGAGCACUGUAGAGGCAGAUGGAAUUCCGGGUGUGGCGGUGGAAUGCGUAGAGAUCCGGAAGAACACCGGUGGCGAAGGCGGUCUGCUGGGCAGUUGCUGACGCUGAUGCGCGACAGCGUGGGGAGCAAACAGG